This 4901-nucleotide long non-coding RNA is filed under the name Sus scrofa (pig). Its description in RNAcentral is "lncRNA (ENSSSCG00035001428.1)". Lineage: Eukaryota; Metazoa; Chordata; Mammalia; Artiodactyla; Suidae. The record is from RNAcentral.
GGGGGGCAAUGGGCAACACCUGCAGCAUAUGGAGGUUCCCAGUCUAGGAGUCAAAUCGGAGCUGCAGCUGCCAGCCUAUGCCAGAGCCACAGCAACACCAGAUCUGAGCCCCAUCUGAGACCUAUGCCACAGCUUGCGGCAACACCAGAUCCUUAACCCACUGAGUAAGGCCAAGGAUCAAACCUGCACCAUUACGGAUACUAGUCAGAUUCUUAACCUGCUGAGCCACAACAGGUACUCCACCUUAUAAAUAUUUUAAGAGUUGUUAAUUUUUCUUCCCAGGACAGACUUUUUUCCUCAUUCUUUUUAAAACAUAGCUAUUUGCACAUUUGUUUUUGGCAAUAUUCCUUCUUUAAAAAUAUUUUUGCAUUUGAUUUUUAUUAAAGCUGUUUUUUGUCCAAAACCAUUCAAAAGUUUGGACUUCUGAAUUUCCAAUAUAAACUAUCCAUCUGGAAAACUCCAGGAAGUAUUCUCUUGAAAACAAGUAGAAGUGCUUUUUGCUUCAGCAUUUUAAAUAAAAUAUCGAAAUGGUUUCCCACUAUACAGGUAUUAUCUGCUUCAAAAAAACAAAUACUGGAGUUCCCGUCAUGGCUCAGCAGUUAACGAAUCUGACUAGCAUCCAUGAGGACACAGGUUCGAUCCCUGGCCUCACUCAGAGGGUUAUAUAGAUCCAGUGCUGCGGUGAGCUGUGGUGUAGGCUGCAGACGCAGCUUGGAUUCUGUGUUGCUGUGGCUGUGGUGUAGGCCUGCAGCUACAGCUCCAUUUUGACCCCUAGCCUGGGAAACUAUAUGCUGCAGGUGCAGCUCUAAAAAGUAAAACAAAACAAAACAAAAACUUCUUUUGUUCAGCUAACCUUAAAUCUGCUCUGUUAUCUUUAGUCUUUGAUAGUAGAUAAUAUACUCACAUUAUUAAAAUUUUUCUACACACCUGCCACAGUGUCACUAUGAAGAAACGUGUUAUAGGUCUUUGCUUAAAGAAUGGUGAUGAAUGAGGGUUUAAUAAAGAGCAGAAGUUUCUGGGAAAUGCCUGACAGAAGCAACAGCUAUUAAAAACUAAUCUUAGGAGUUCCCGUCGUGGCUCAGUGCUAACAAACCCAACUAGUAUCCACGAGGACCUGGGUUCAAUCCCUGGCCCCACCCCGUGGGUUAAGAAUCCAGCAUUGCCGUAAGCUAUAGCUCGGAUUUGGCGUUGCUGUGGCUGUGGUAUAGGCCAACCACUGUAGCUCCAAUUUGACCCUUAGCCUGGGAACCUCCAUAUGCCAUGGGUGUGGUCCUUAAAAAAGAAAAAGGCAAAAAUCUUGUUCUAUAAUCCAAUCCUGCUCUAAUUCUUCACUCCAUCACUUUCAAGCAUCAACCUUUUCUUCCAGACAAGCCUAUCUUCCUUCCUUACUGCUCUCUGAAUAGGCCUGCUCCCAUCUAAUGACAUCAUUUGCCUCCCAGGUCCUCAGUCAAAUACUGUCAGCCUAUCUCCCUAACCGCUUUCCUAAGUAUUCCCAACAUCCCUACUGCUUCUACUACCUCAAAUUUACCUAGAUUUAGAUUAGCCCUGGCUGGCUUGGUACCUCCUAUCAUUUCUGUCUAAUUCACCCUAUACACCAGUGCCAAAUUAAUCGUCUAACACGCCUCAGCAUAGCAGGCUCAUCAGAAUCCAGAUCACUUCCGGCCUAAACUAUGCCACACAUUGAGAACUGGACCAUCCUUUUCUGUGUGGGGCUUAAUCCCUUUGCCCACUCUUUCUGCCCUGUGAAAGCCCUGUUCCCUUCUCUACAUACCCCUAUCAUGCAUGUUCCAGUUUAAAUUCCUUUGAGAAGCCUUCCCGAAUAACCAAUCUCUUUUUCCCAAAUGUGCUCCACAACUAGGCCCCAUGGAAAAGUAAUCUCUCCCUUUCCUUAAAUCCUCUCGCUGUUCUUGAUACUUUAAAUAGCUACACAUAUACAUUCUAAGCUCCCCAGCAAAGAGGAGGAGGUAAGUGUAUUUACUUCACAUUUUCCUCCUGGCAGUGUCUUGCAAAACAACAGGUCCUCCCAUAUUGAGUGAGAUGUUCAUUCUCAACUCCAGGCCUAUUCUUCCUCCGCUCCCUCGUUUGAACUGAGCUUCUCUCUCCCUUAGCUUCUAUUCAACCUAACCUAUUCUUCAAGGUACAACCUAACGAAUAUCACAGUCCCAUUUAAUCUCAUUUAUCCAGUUAAUACAGCACAUAUUUGGACACCUGCAGUCAUACGCUCUUUUCAAAUGUUGCUUAAUUCUCAUGUUUAUGUUCUAAACUCAAGACUACCAUUCUCUAAAGUAUACCCACUGAACCCCCCUGACCAAAAUUCCAUCUCUUUGAAUUUAUUUAUCAUACACUAUUUUUACCCAUCAAAAAUCCUAUCAAUCCUCCAAAGCCAAAUUCAAAUGAGAUUCCCUUCAAGUCCUUCCCUAAUGCCUCUUAGAUUUACUCUAAGUUUCUAAGGAACCCUGAACCAGUAUUCUAGUACUUAGCAUAUUUCAACUCAGAUUUACUUCUGUUAUAUAUCUGUGUCUUCCAUAAUUUAAGAAUUCAAGCUGGGCUCCUGGUAUUUCAUUUUUUCUCUUAUAAGCAACUCACAGGCAUUCAAAAUAUAAUUGAUGCAUUUAAAUAAACCGUAGCACAAAAUAGUUUGAAAAAGCAUUUUCAGGAACUGAGGCAUACAAAAAAAAAAAAAAAAUCCUGUAAUACUGAAAUGGGUUGAACUGUGUCCACCCAAAGAUGUUAAGUUCUAACUUCGAGUACCUGUGAGUGUGACUAUUUGGAAAUAGGGCCUUUGUAGAUGUAAUUAAGGAUCUUGAAUUUGGAGUGAGCCCUUAAUCCAAUGACUGCUGUCUUCAUAAGAAAUAGGAGAAGAUUUGACAUAAAGGGUAAGGAUAAUAAACUGAAGGCAGAAAGAGUUCCUAUCGUGGCUCAGCGGUUAACAAAUCUGACUAGCAUUGGUGAGGACGUAGAUCCGAUCCCUGGCCUCGCUCAGUGGGUUAAGGAUCCGGCGUUGCCAUGAGCUGUGGUGUUAGGUUGCAGAUGUGGCUCAGAGCCUGUGUUGCUGUAGCUGUGGCGUAGGCCAGUGGCUACAGCUCCAAUUGGACCCCUAGUCUGGGAACCUCCACAUGCCGAGAGUGCAGCCCUAAAAAGAAAACAAAAACAGAAAAACCUGAAGGCAGAAAAUGGAAUGAAUAGCAUGGACUAGAUUCUCCACCAGUGGUUCCAAAAGGAGCCAACCUUGUCACCACCUAGAUCUCAGACUUCUAGCCUCUAGAACAAUGAGAGAUACGAAUUAGUGCUAAUUUGCUACGGCAACCCUAGGAAACCAAUACAAGUACCUCAACAGUAUAGCUUCCUAAAUACCUAUUACAGUGAACUUUUUAUCUCAAAAAAUAAGAGGAAUAAUGAAGUUCUUAACAGAUAAACAAAAUUCUUUGAGUUUUAUUUAACUAAAAUCAUAUUUUACCUAAACUUAUGAUGAGGUAGACCUUGCUCAUAAAUUACCAAUGGCUUAUCUUUUUUUUUUUUUCCUUAAUUUUAUGGCCACAAAAAAAAAACCACGAAGUUCUCGGGCCAAGGAAUGAAUCCUAUGCCACAGCUGUAGCAACGCUGGACCCUUUAACCCACUGCCCUGGGCUGCGGAUUGAACCUGAACCUCUGUAGUGACCUGAACCGCAUCAGAUUCUUUUUUUCUUUUUUAUGGCCACAGCUGUGGCAUAUGAAGUUCCUGGGGUAGGGGUCAAAAUGGAGCUGCAGCUGCAGGCCUACGCCACAGCCACAGCAACACCAGAUCUGAGCUGCACCUGCGACUUUAUACCACAGAUCAUAGCAAUGCAGGAUCCUUAACCCCCUGAGCAAGGCAGGGAUCAAACCCACUGGUUCUUAGCCCACUGAGCCACAAGGGGAAAUCCUGCAAUCAGAUUCUUAACCCACUGCACCAAAGAGGGAACUCCAGAAGUGGCUUAUUUUAAGCUGAGUUCAGGGUAACUUCUCAAUAUAAAAUGUACUGUGUUAGAAAUAUACAAUGAUAGGGAGUUCCCAUCAUGGUUCAGUGGCAACAAACCCAACUAGGCUCCAUGAGGAGGUGGGUUUGAUUCCAGACCUCACUCAGUGGGUUAAGGAUCCAGUGUUGCUGUGGUGUAGGUUGCAGAAAGGACUCAGACCUUGUGCUGUUGUGGCUGCAGCAUAGGAUGUCAGCUAUAGCUCUAAUAUGACCCCUAGCCUGGGAACUUCCACAUGCCACGAGUGCAGCCCUAAAAAAGCAAGAAAAUAAAAGUAUAUAAUCCUAAAAUAUGUAAAACUGAAGUUAUACCCAUAUAUACUAUAAUAAAAAAAUUCAUGCUACUCCUAAGGACAAUAUUAUUUUAUGAAGGUGUUUUCGCUACUAUAUAAAUCUUAAUUUUUUUCUUAAUGAUAAAGGUUCAUAUUUUCAAUGUAACUUGAUACUAGGUAUGGGUUAAUAUUUUGUUUUUUAUUUUAUUUUUUGCUUUUUAGGGCCGCAGGUGCAGCAUAUGCAAGUUCCCAGGCUAGAAGUCUAUUUGGAGCUACAGCUGCCAACCUCCACCACAGCCACAGCAACUUGGGAUCCAAGCCAUGUCUGUGACCUACACUACAGCUUUUGGCAAUGCCAAAUCCAUAACCCACUGAGUGAGGCCAGGGAUCAAACCCACAUCCUCAUGGAUACUAGUCAGAUUCGUUUCCACUGGGCAACGAGGGAAAUUCCUGUUUAUUCUCUAUGAAAAAAAUUCCCAUUGUGGCUCAGUGGGUUAAGAACCGACCAGUAUCCAUGAGGAUGCAGGUUCAAUCUCCGGUCUUGCUCAGUGGGUUAGGGAUCUACAAGCUGUGGUGUAGGUCACAGAUGAGGCUUGGACCUGGAGUUGCUGUGGCUGUGUUGUAAGCUGGCAGCUGCA